Molecule: ribosomal RNA, 424 nt
Filed under: uncultured bacterium
Lineage: Bacteria
Description: bacterial SSU rRNA
Rfam family: Bacterial small subunit ribosomal RNA
Source: RNAcentral
UGAGGAAUAUUGGUCAAUGGACGCAAGUCUGAACCAGCCAUGCCGCGUGAAGGAUGAAGGCCUUCUGGGUUGUAAACUUCUUUUAUUGGGGAAGAAACCUCCGAUUUCUAUUGGAGCCGACGGUACCCAAGGAAUAAGCACCGGCUAACUCCGUGCCAGCAGCCGCGGUAAUACGGAGGGUGCAAGCGUUAUCCGGAUUUACUGGGUUUAAAGGGUGUGUAGGCGGGCUGUUAAGUCAGUGGUGAAAUCUCCAGGCUCAACCUGGAAACUGCCGUUGAUACUAUCAGUCUUGAAUUCUGUUGAGGUAGGCGGAAUAUGUCAUGUAGCGGUGAAAUGCUUAGAGAUGACAUAGAACACCGAUUGCGAAGGCAGCUUACUAAACAGCGAUUGACGCUGAGGCACGAAAGCGUGGGGAUCAAACAGG